GACGAACGCUGGCGGCGUGGAUUAGGCAUGCAAGUCGAACGGUAUCAUCCUUUCGGGGGUGAGAGAGUGGCGAACUGGUGAGUAACACGUAGGUUAUCUACCCUCAAGACGGGGACAAACCCAGGGAAACUUGGGCUAAUACCGGAUGUGAGCAACUUUUAGUUGUUUGAAAGGUGGCGUAAGCUGUCGCUUGAGGAUGAGCCUGCGUCCUAUUAGUUAGUUGGUGAGGUAACGGCUCACCUAGGCAAUGAUAGGUAGGCGGCCUUAACGGGUGGUCGCCCACACUGGGAUUGAGAUACGGCCCAGACUCCUACGGGAGGCAGCAGUCGAGAAUAGUCUACAAUGGUCGGAAGACUGAUAGUGCGACGCCGCGUGAACGAUGAAUCCCUUCGGGGUGUAAAGUUCUUUUAUAUGUGAGCAGUGCUUCUUAUAUUUAACAGUAUGGGGAGAGAGAUAUUAGCAUAUGAAUAAGCAACGGCUAACCCGUGCCAGCAGCCGCGGUAAGC
RNAcentral lists this ribosomal RNA (506 nucleotides) under uncultured bacterium. Its description in RNAcentral is "bacterial SSU rRNA". It matches the Rfam family "Bacterial small subunit ribosomal RNA", at positions 28 to 525 of the family's 1533-position model. The record is from RNAcentral.